AACGAACGCUGGCGGCAUGCCUAACACAUGCAAGUCGAACGAGACCUUCGGGUCUAGUGGCGCACGGGUGCGUAACGCGUGGGAACCUGCCCUUAGGUUCGGCAUAACUCCCCGAAAGGGGUGCUAAUACCGGAUAAUGUCUUCGGACCAAAGAUUUAUCGCCUUUGGAUGGGCCCGCGUUGGAUUAGCUAGUUGGUAGGGUAAAAGCCUACCAAGGCGCCGAUCCAUAGAUGGUCUGAGAGGAUGAUCAGCCACACUGGGACUGUGACCCGGCCCAGACUCCUACGGGAGGCAGCAGUGGGGAAUAGUGGACAAUGGGCGAAAGCCUGAACCAGCAAUGACGCGUGAGUGAUGAAGGCAUUAGGGUUGUAAAGCGCUUUUACCCGGGAUGAUAAUGACAGUACCGGGAGAAUAAGCUCCGGCUAACUCCGUG
Molecule: ribosomal RNA, 433 nt
Filed under: uncultured bacterium
Lineage: Bacteria
Description: partial 16S ribosomal RNA
Rfam family: Bacterial small subunit ribosomal RNA
Source: RNAcentral